RNAcentral lists this ribosomal RNA (807 nucleotides) under Salmonella enterica subsp. enterica serovar Stanley. RNAcentral describes it as "partial 23S ribosomal RNA". It matches the Rfam family "Bacterial large subunit ribosomal RNA", at positions 981 to 1781 of the family's 2925-position model. The record is from RNAcentral. Lineage: Bacteria; Pseudomonadati; Pseudomonadota; Gammaproteobacteria; Enterobacterales; Enterobacteriaceae.
GAGACACACGGCGGGUGCUAACGUCCGUCGUGAAGAGGGAAACAACCCAGACCGCCAGCUAAGGUCCCAAAGUCAUGGUUAAGUGGGAAACGAUGUGGGAAGGCCCAGACAGCCAGGAUGUUGGCUUAGAAGCAGCCAUCAUUUAAAGAAAGCGUAAUAGCUCACUGGUCGAGUCGGCCUGCGCGGAAGAUGUAACGGGGCUAAACCAUGCACCGAAGCUGCGGCAGCGACACUGUGUGUUGUUGGGUAGGGGAGCGUUCUGUAAGCCUGUGAAGGUGUGUCGUGAGGCAUGCUGGAGGUAUCAGAAGUGCGAAUGCUGACAUAAGUAACGAUAAAGCGGGUGAAAAGCCCGCUCGCCGGAAGACCAAGGGUUCCUGUCCAACGUUAAUCGGGGCAGGGUGAGUCGACCCCUAAGGCGAGGCCGAAAGGCGUAGUCGAUGGGAAACGGGUUAAUAUUCCCGUACUUGGUGUUACUGCGAAGGGGGGACGGAGAAGGCUAUGUUGGCCGGGCGACGGUUGUCCCGGUUUAAGCGUGUAGGUGUGUGUUCCAGGUAAAUCCGGUUCACUUUAACACUGAGGCGUGACGACGAGGCACUACGGUGCUGAAGCAACAAAUGCCCUGCUUCCAGGAAAAGCCUCUAAGCAUCAGGUAACAUCAAAUCGUACCCCAAACCGACACAGGUGGUCAGGUAGAGAAUACCAAGGCGCUUGAGAGAACUCGGGUGAAGGAACUAGGCAAAAUGGUGCCGUAACUUCGGGAGAAGGCACGCUGACACGUAGGUGAAGUGAUUUACUCAUGGAGCUGAA